GUGCUCCCUUCAGCAGCACAUACACUAAAAUUGGAAUGAUACAGAAAAGAUUAGUGUGGCCCCUGCGCUAGAAUGACACGCAAAUUCGUGAAGCGUUCCAUAUUUUU
Small nuclear RNA from Loxodonta africana (African savanna elephant), 107 nucleotides. The record is from Ensembl. NCBI's taxonomy places the organism in Eukaryota, Metazoa, Chordata, Mammalia, Proboscidea, Elephantidae.